Long non-coding RNA from Humulus lupulus (European hop), 1717 nucleotides. RefSeq lists it as uncharacterized. NCBI's taxonomy places the organism in Eukaryota, Viridiplantae, Streptophyta, Magnoliopsida, Rosales, Cannabaceae. The transcript is spliced from 2 exons. The record is from RefSeq and is a predicted model, not a curated record.
CUUAACCGAUCGUCUCCUUCUCUUUCUCCCUUUCUCUCUCAUUUGUUCUCUGCCAGCCCCGAACGACUACCCAUCGAUUGUCGCCGCCGUUCAAGCAUUGGACUAGGAAGAAUAGACAACGUUGAAACUCCAUCCCCGCGAGCCCUUUGUCGUCAUUCUUCCCUGCGAGUAGAAGCCUCCAGGUCCGUACAUCGCCGUCAUGGAUCCAAGGCCAAUUUCUGGCUGCUCUGACAUCGUCUCAGGUGAAGGGUAGUAUGGAUGAACUAAUGGUAUCAAGACGAACAAAGCCCAACCAAGGAUCAAGCUUUCAAGUGAUAGGAGGAGACGAAAUGAGCUCACCGGCGUCCAUGGGUUUUCGAGGCUGUUUGACCUUGAUUCGCCAUCCACGAUGAAUUGAGAGCCUCCCCACCACGAUGAAUGACGUCCAUGGAAAGAGCACUCGUGCCCCCAUUUAUCUCUUUGAGAUAUAUAUAUAUAAUCAUUUUAGAGAAAAUUGAUAACUUUCUGUGUGUGUGUUUUUUUUAUUAAUGGUUUGUUUUGGUUUUGUGUUGCAGUUCCACCAGUACCAGGUUGUGGGAAGGGCUCUCCCUACCGUGUCUGAUGAGCAUCCUAAGAUUUACCAGAUGAAGCUUUGGGCCACCAAUGAGGUCCGCGCCAAGUCCAAGUUCUGGUAUUUUCUGAGGAAGUUGAAGAAGGUCAAGAAGAGCGAUGGUCAGGUUCUUGCUAUUAAUGAUGUACUGUAUUUACUCUUUCUGUGCUUUAAAUGCUAAUGAUUUAUGAAUAAAGAGUUUAUUGCUCUCAAUGUUAAGUUGCAAUGCUUUCCAGGUAGCAGUUGGGGUCUGCUUUUCAUUUUGGCUGAAUACGAGAAGUGUCUCGUUACCCUAUGGCAUGUAUACUUUCUUGUAACUAAUCUGGUCAACAUUUUUCUGAUGGUAACUCACAUAUCUAUUCUUGGGAAGACAAACUUAUAAAAUAAAAAAUAAAUUUCCAUUAAAUUCAAUCAUUCAAGACUAGGAUAAACAAGUAGGCACAUAGUAAGGAGAAUAGAGUUUUAAAGGUUCAGUUAAAUGAAUUGAGAAUAUACAAAUGAAGUAUUGGAUUUCUUUGGUGAGUCACACAAUUAUGUUUGAUUAGUUAUUGGAAGAAUAUGUCUUUUACUGGGAAUAUAGCAUAUAGGGAUCGUUAUUAGUGACUUUUUUCUCCCUCUAGAAAUUUUCAAUGUUAUCUGUUAUCUGAUUUAUGUUAUGUUUUUUGAUGCAGGAAAAUGUGGGUUACCCUUCCUGCGCCCUUGGGUCUUAUUCAACUGGGAAAAUGGUAUCUAUUGUUGACCUCAUUUUGUCUUGUUUCUAUGGGAAACAGAGUUAAUUUAACAGAUGGUCUUGACGGGCUGGCUAGGGGGACUGCUGCCUUGGCAUUUGUUGGAAUGUCAAUUGCAGUGCUUCCAAUAUGUCCUGGUUAGUAUGAAUCUUCUUGAAAUUAGAAUAUGAUGUCUGAAUAUUAAGAAUUAACAGUUUGAUAAUUUUCUAUUUUACUUGUUUCUUGGUUUGAGCCUAUAAUAAGUAUUUUUUAUUUUGUAUAGAUGUGAUCUCAAUCAUUAGGCCGGAAGUAAAUGAGGGUUUGAAUAAGUAUCCAUAUGUUAAAAAGCUAUGUUCAACAACAGUUGCUAACACUUGGAAACUAUUCAUAAUUAUGUGAUAAUUUAGCUAUGUUUGUCGUG